RNAcentral lists this ribosomal RNA (582 nucleotides) under Legionella erythra. RNAcentral describes it as "bacterial SSU rRNA". It matches the Rfam family "Bacterial small subunit ribosomal RNA", at positions 283 to 856 of the family's 1533-position model. Lineage: Bacteria; Pseudomonadati; Pseudomonadota; Gammaproteobacteria; Legionellales; Legionellaceae. The record is from RNAcentral.
GUAGCUGGUCUGAGAGGAUGGCCAGCCACACUGGAACUGAGACACGGUCCAGACUCCUACGGGAGGCAGCAGUGGGGAAUAUUGGACAAUGGGGGGAACCCUGAUCCAGCAAUGCCGCGUGUGUGAAGAAGGCCUGAGGGUUGUAAAGCACUUUCAGUGGGGAGGAGGGUUGACAGGUUAAGAGCUGGUUGACUGGACGUUACCCACAGAAGAAGCACCGGCUAACUCCGUGCCAGCAGCCGCGGUAAUACGGAGGGUGCGAGCGUUAAUCGGAAUUACUGGGCGUAAAGGGUGCGUAGGUGGUUUGAUAAGUUAUCUGUGAAAGCCCUGGGCUUAACCUGGGAACUGCAGAUAAGACUGUUGGACUCGAGUAUGGGAGAGGGUAGUGGAAUUUCCGGUGUAGCGGUGAAAUGCGUAGAGAUCGGAAGGAACACCAGUGGCGAAGGCGGCUACCUGGCCUAAUACUGACACUGAGGCACGAAAGCGUGGGGAGCAAACAGGAUUAGAUACCCUGGUAGUCCACGCUGUAAACGAUGUCAACUAGCUGUUGGUCUUAUGAAUGAGAUUAGUGGCGCAGCAAAC